GCGCACCAGUCGAGAAUCCUUCGCAAUGCGGGAAACCGCGACGAGGGGACUCCCAGUGCCUACGCUCAGCGUAGGCUGUUCCCGAGCCUAGAAAGCUCGGGGAGUAAGGGCUGGGUAAGACGGGUGCCAGCCGCCGCGGUAAUACCCGCAGCCCGAGUGGUGGCCACUAUUAUUGGGCCUAAAGCGUCCGUAGCCGGCCCGGUAAAUGCCUGGGUAAAUCGUGAGGCCUAACCUCACGAAUUCCGGGUAGACUGCCGGGCUAGGGACCGGAGGAGGGAGAGGGUACUCCAGGGGUAGGGGUGAAAUCCUGUAAUCCCUGGAGGACCACCGGUGGCGAAGGCGCUCUCCUAGGACGGGUCCGACGGUGAGGGACGAAAGCCAGGGGAGCGAACCGGAUUAGAUACCCGGGUAGU
RNAcentral lists this ribosomal RNA (413 nucleotides) under uncultured microorganism. RNAcentral's name for it is "bacterial SSU rRNA". It matches the Rfam family "Archaeal small subunit ribosomal RNA", at positions 330 to 745 of the family's 1478-position model. The record is from RNAcentral.